This is a non-coding RNA of Hipposideros armiger (great roundleaf bat), 433 nucleotides long. The record is from the annotation of a RefSeq genome assembly. Lineage: Eukaryota; Metazoa; Chordata; Mammalia; Chiroptera; Hipposideridae.
GGAGGAAACCUGCUCAGCCUCAGGCCACAGGGAGCAUAAUUGGGGUGCCUCCACCAUGGCCUGGACCCCUCUCCUCCUCGGCCUCCUCGCUCACUGCACAGGGUCUGUGGCCUCCUAUGAGCUGACUCAGCCCUCCUCCGUGUCGGUGACCCCAGGACAGACGGCCAGGAUCACCUGUGGAGGAAACAACAUUGGAAGUAAAAAUGCUUACUGGUACCAGCAGAAGCCAGGCCGGGCCCCUGUGCUGGUCAUCUAUUAUAGCAGCAGCCGGCCCUCAGGGAUCCCUGACCGAUUCUCUGGCUCCAACUCGGGGAACACGGCCACCCUGACCAUCAGUGGUGCCCGGGCUGAGGACGAGGCUGACUAUUACUGUGCAGUAGCUGAUGGCAGUGGGAGCAGCUGGCAGUGAUCACGGUGACACAGACAGAUGAGG